Molecule: microRNA precursor, 199 nt
Organism: Oryza rufipogon (brownbeard rice)
Lineage: Eukaryota; Viridiplantae; Streptophyta; Magnoliopsida; Poales; Poaceae
Rfam family: MIR812 microRNA precursor family
Source: Rfam
AAAAAGACAAACCCUUCCGUGUUCAACAUUUGACCGUCCGUCUUAUUUAAAAAAAAUAUAAAAAAGUAAAAAGACAAGUCACGCAUAAAGUAUUAAUCAUGUUUUAUCAUCUAAUAAUAAUGAAAAUACUAAUUAUAAAAAAACUCAUAUAAGACGGACAGUCAAACGUUGGACACAAAAAUUUAGGGUUUGUUUUUUU